UAUACUUAGUAUGGAUACUAGCAGCCUUUAAGUUUGGUUUGUAUUCAGUGUGGGGCUUGGAUAAAGAAUUUGCAUUGCUUUGACAGAGCCAAGGAAAUAUAGUUCCACAGGACCAAUAAAACAUAGCUGACUUCCCAUGGUAAACAGCAGUGACUACAACUAUGAUUGCAGAGACACCUUCUGAAACACGUUCUUUUAAAGACAGGAAGGAAAAGGAAAGGGCGAGAAAGGGAAAUAUAAACAAACAACAAGGAAGAGAAAGAUGACCCUCGUCCAGAUGUUUUACCUCAUGGAGAAAGAAUCUGCCUGGAUGUAAAGAGACUUUGUCCCCAACCAACAUGCAUAUGUUCUCACAUAUAAAGUGUGUACAUGUGUAGGUGUCUCUCCACAUGUUUGGGAAAACUGCAAAUGCAGGGUGCUCGCACAGAGAAGCUUGAGCAUGAAUAGGCUUGUGUCAGACAGACAUGGUAAAAAAUGCAGUUGGGACAGAGCCUGCUGCUGUAAUGCCAAUCCCCUCCCCAUUGUUUCUCCAUAUGAUAAAAAGGAGUAAGGAGGCAGGCAUAUAAAGUAUUAGGUGAGCCCCAUGCUGUAAAUUGGGAUUAAAGGUGAAUCCAGUUUUUUAAAAGAUUGAAGUAAACUGGUUAAUUGAUCAGUUAAAGCAAGUUAAUUUAUACUCAUAAGGAAAAUUCUCAAAAGACAAAGUCUGUAAAGGAUAUAUAAUCAGACCAAAUUAUGAAGUGCAUGUUCAUGAUGAUUGAGAUAUCUGUUUUGAGUUUGGGUCAUUUUAUUGUCAUGGCUUCCUUAGCAAAGAUAUUCAAGACCAGUAAUAGGUUCUGUAUAUGGAUUUUGCACCAUACAAAAGAAUUGCUCUUCAAUAAAUAUUCAGCAAACAUUCAUAA
Molecule: long non-coding RNA, 899 nt
Organism: Rhineura floridana
Lineage: Eukaryota; Metazoa; Chordata; Lepidosauria; Squamata; Rhineuridae
Exons: 3
Source: RefSeq, a predicted model, not a curated record